RNAcentral lists this ribosomal RNA (368 nucleotides) under Fejervarya sp. BFM-2007. RNAcentral's name for it is "partial 12S ribosomal RNA". It matches the Rfam family "Bacterial small subunit ribosomal RNA", at positions 869 to 1405 of the family's 1533-position model. The record is from RNAcentral. Lineage: Eukaryota; Metazoa; Chordata; Amphibia; Anura; Dicroglossidae.
ACGCCUGGGACUACGGGCUAAGCCUAAAACCCAAAGGACUUGACGGUGUCCCACCCAACUAGAGGAGCCUGUCCUGUAAUCGAUAACCCCCGCUAAACCUCACCUCUCUUUGCUUUCUCAGCCUGUAUACCUCCGUCGCAAAUCAACCAUGUGAACGCCAAAUAGUAUGAUUCAAUGGCCCCACGCCAAAACGUCAGGUCAAGGUGCAGCCCAUAGAGAGGGAAGUGAUGGGCCACAAUCUCUAACCUAGAACAAACGAACUACUGCACAUGAAAUUCAGUUAUGAAGGAGGAUUUAGUAGUAAAGAGAAAACAAUGUGUUCUCUUUAACACGGCCCUGGGACGCGUACACACCGCCAAUCACCCUCA